This 276-nucleotide unclassified non-coding RNA is filed under the name Glomeraceae sp. Its description in RNAcentral is "partial contains 5.8S ribosomal RNA and internal transcribed spacer 2". The stretch from base 1 to 71 matches the Rfam family "5.8S ribosomal RNA", at positions 84 to 154 of the family's 154-position model. Lineage: Eukaryota; Fungi; Glomeromycota; Glomeromycetes; Glomerales; Glomeraceae. The record is from RNAcentral.
GUGAAUCAUCAAAUUUUUGAACGCAAAUUGCGCUUCCUGGCAUCCCGGGAAGUAUGCCUGUUUGAGGGUCAGUAUUAAUAAAAAAUCUGUUUAGUCACAAAUUGUGACGUUUCCGGAGUUUGUGCUAUCUUAACAUUUCUGGUUAAUUGGUUUAUAAUUGACCUUUUUCGCGCAUUUUUAAACGUACAUAAAUUUUUUUUAUCCGUCUACUCUUGAUGCCAAUAUCUUAUUAGAUGCGACCACAUCGGCUGGCUUCGUUUCCAUAAAAUUUUCAUA